Non-coding RNA from Trichonephila clavipes, 83 nucleotides. Lineage: Eukaryota; Metazoa; Arthropoda; Arachnida; Araneae; Nephilidae. The record is from the annotation of a GenBank genome assembly.
AACAACGUAGAUGAGGUGGUUAAGGCGAUGGGCUGUUAAUCCAUUGGGCUCUGCCCGCGAGGGUUCGAAACCCUUCAUCGUCG